GACGAACGCUGGCGGCGUGCUUAACACAUGCAAGUCGAACGGAAAGGCCCUGCUUUUGUGGGGUGCUCGAGUGGCGAACGGGUGAGUAACACGUGAGUAACCUGCCCUUGACUUUGGGAUAACUUCAGGAAACUGGGGCUAAUACCGGAUAGGAGCUCCUGCUGCAUGGUGGGGGUUGGAAAGUUUCGGCGGCUGGGGAGUGACUCUCGGCUUAUCAGCUUGUUGGUGGGGUAGUGGCUUACCAAGGCUUUGACGGGUAGCCGGCCUGAGAGGGUGACCGGCGACACUGGGACUGAGAUACGGCCCAGACUCCUCCGGGAGGCAGCAGUGGGGAAAAUUGCACAAUGGGCGGAAGCCUGAUGCAGCAACGCCGCGUGCGGGAUAACGGCCUUCGGGUUGUAAACCGCUUUCGCCUGUGACGAAGCGUGAGUGACGGUAAUGGGUAAAGAAGCACCGGCUAACUACGUG
RNAcentral lists this ribosomal RNA (468 nucleotides) under uncultured bacterium. RNAcentral describes it as "partial 16S ribosomal RNA". It matches the Rfam family "Bacterial small subunit ribosomal RNA", at positions 28 to 507 of the family's 1533-position model. The record is from RNAcentral.